Molecule: unclassified non-coding RNA, 223 nt
Filed under: Hevea brasiliensis (rubber tree)
Lineage: Eukaryota; Viridiplantae; Streptophyta; Magnoliopsida; Malpighiales; Euphorbiaceae
Source: RNAcentral
GGGUGAAGCAAUCGACUGAAACCAUACAGCUUUAUGACCUGGAAAUGAUGGUGUUUGUCUCUGGUCAGGAGAGGAACGAAAAAGAAUGGGCCAAACUAUUUUUUGAUGCAGGAUUCAGCAGCUAUAAAAUAAAUCCUGUUCUUGGCCUAAGAUCUAUCAUUGAGGUUUAUCCUUGAAUAUCUUAUUGUCUCUAAUAAAAUUAAUUUUACCCUUGUAUUAAUUU